CCCGGUCUCCAAAAGAGCUCUCAACAUAGGCCAAGGAUAAGAUGGCCUCCUCAGGGCGACGAGAAGCUUAGACCUCCGAGCCCGCACUCUUAAAGGAGGUGUCAAACUCGAGUGGUUCUGGAUGAAUCAGCGGCCAUAAAAGGAAGGAUGGGUCAAUGCGAUGGUGAUCGGGUAUCUCCGAACGGCAUCGAUAUCGAGCA
Molecule: long non-coding RNA, 200 nt
Filed under: Elaeis guineensis (African oil palm)
Lineage: Eukaryota; Viridiplantae; Streptophyta; Magnoliopsida; Arecales; Arecaceae
Description: long non-coding RNA (EGUI_LNC038709)
Source: RNAcentral